This 253-nucleotide ribosomal RNA is filed under the name uncultured bacterium. Its description in RNAcentral is "partial 16S ribosomal RNA". It matches the Rfam family "Bacterial small subunit ribosomal RNA", at positions 524 to 776 of the family's 1533-position model. The record is from RNAcentral.
UACGAAGGGGGCUAGCGUUGUUCGGAAUUACUGGGCGUAAAGCGAGCGCAGGCGGUUUGAUAAGUUAGAAGUGAAAGCCUUGGGCUCAACCUGAGAACUGCUUUUGAUACUGUCAAGCUAGAAUAUGGGAGAGGAUAGUGGAAUUCUUUGUGUAGGGGUGAAAUCCGGAGAUAUCAAGAGGAAUACCAAUUGCGAAGGCAGCUAUCUGGAACAAUAUUGACGCUGAGGCCCGAAAGCGUGGGGAGUACACAGG